Long non-coding RNA from Hyla sarda, 927 nucleotides. RefSeq lists it as uncharacterized. The transcript has 2 exons. The record is from RefSeq and is a predicted model, not a curated record. NCBI's taxonomy places the organism in Eukaryota, Metazoa, Chordata, Amphibia, Anura, Hylidae.
AGUAUGAGAUUUAUUCCCCUGCAGUCCAUACAUCCCCAGCCUGCACACCUUCUCAUCCUCCCCUCCAGAUAACACUUAUCUUCUCUGUGGGUCCCUCUCCUGUGCAGACCUGUGUCUUUAGAAUACAGAGCAGGGGGAGGGGAGGAGCUGUGUACUCAGCUGGAUGAGAUGAGGGGGUGUGGCUUAUUCCUCUCAUGCAGACAGGGGAAAAAAAAGCUGUGACAUCUUGUCCACCACAGACUCAGAACUGUGGACAACAGUAAAAGAAAACCCUCUGAACUACAGAAUUUCCUGCCCAACAAACAGCGCUGACAAAGGUUUCUUAAGCUGGUGAAGAUCGUGGAGCAUUUCUGUUGGAAAUGGUACAACUUUACAAGUUAUUUUCCAAUGUGAUUCCAACAUGCAGAAUUACCCAAAAGAGGUAAACAAAAAAUAAAAAGGAAAACUUAUCAGAAAGGGCAUAUAUGUGCUUUUUUUUUUCUUUUUACCAGUUCUAUUUACACGAUAAACUGAAAUGGAAAGUGCCAAUAAAUAAAGAGGAAAAUAUUUGUUUUUUGUUUUUUUAUUCUUUAGCUACUCCAAUAACUGUUCUAUCCCCACACAGUGUUUAUGCACCCUGGCAUAACCAUCUCCUUUACCCUUAUGCUCCCUUUCCUAUUGUGUUGUGUGGCAUUUUAAACUGUUGUGCUCUUCCCAGUAUUAACAUGGGAGACAAGUGUAUUUCUAGUUUCUCAGUACAACAGUAGGUAAUGCCAUCCUUCCUAAGUUUGAUCUAACCAGAGAAAGCUUAAACUAAGCAAGUGCCCUUUACGUUUUCAUUCAAAGUAUUCCCAAACACAAAAUAAAACUGCUGGAAAUUGUAAACAACAAAAAAGGCUUUUUUUUUUUUCUUUUUUCUUUUUUUUUAAGAGGUUUAGCUCUUUUCCA